This 305-nucleotide ribosomal RNA is filed under the name Coriomeris affinis. RNAcentral describes it as "partial small subunit ribosomal RNA". The record is from RNAcentral. Lineage: Eukaryota; Metazoa; Arthropoda; Insecta; Hemiptera; Coreidae.
AAAAUACUUGAUUUUUAGUUAAGAUUGAUUCUGUCUUUUUGAAUUGGCUAUAAUUUGAUAGUUUUAUAUACAAGUUUUUGCGCGUUGAAUAAUAUCUUAAGGAUAAUUUUUUUUAUUUGUAGUUUUUGAUUUUGAGAAUUUUGGCAACAUAGACUCAGUUAAUUUAUUUUAGAAUUGUUUAAAAUUGUGCCAGCAUACGCGGUUACACAAUUAAUUCAAGUUAAUUUUUUUGGUUAAUAUUAAUUUUUUAUGUUAGGGAUUUAAUUAAUUUUUAUUGGGUGAAAUUUUAAUUUUAAUUAUAUUCU